GCAGACACAUUCCAGCCAAUCAGCAGCAGACCCUCCCUCCCAGACCCUCCCACCUCCUGGACAGCAUCCAUUGUGAAGCUGCAUUCUUAGUGAGCUGUCCAGGACGUGGGAGGGUCUGGGAGGGAGGGUCUGCUGCUGAUUGCCUGGAAUGUGUCUG
Molecule: microRNA precursor, 157 nt
Filed under: Pelobates cultripes (western spadefoot toad)
Lineage: Eukaryota; Metazoa; Chordata; Amphibia; Anura; Pelobatidae
Source: RNAcentral